GUUGACUUAGCUAAGUAAGCACUCUGUUUAAUAUAGAGAGAAAUUGAUUUUGUAUCAUUAGUUGACU
Molecule: transfer RNA, 67 nt
Filed under: Myadora brevis
Lineage: Eukaryota; Metazoa; Mollusca; Bivalvia; Myochamidae
Description: tRNA-Leu
Source: RNAcentral